Molecule: ribosomal RNA, 1200 nt
Filed under: metagenome
Description: bacterial LSU rRNA
Rfam family: Bacterial large subunit ribosomal RNA
Source: RNAcentral
CGGCGAAAGGGAGCGAAAAUUAAGUAGCGAAGUGGAUGAUUGUACACUGACGAGAAAAGCUGUGUGGAUUGAUGAGGUGCCCGUACCGUAAACCGACACAGGUGGGUGAGGAGAGAAUCCUAAGACCAGCGGGAGAAGUGUUGUUAAGGAACUCGGCAAAUUGACCCCGUAACUUCGGGAAAAGGGGUGCCUGCUAGCGCAGGCCGCAGAGAAUAGGCCCAAGCGACUGUUUAGCAAAAACACAGGUCUCUGCUAAAUCGAAAGAUGAAGUAUAGGGGCUGACGCCUGCCCGGUGCCGGAAGGUUAAGAGGAGGACUUAGCGCAAGCGAAGGUCUGAAUUGAAGCCCCGGUAAACGGCGGCCGUAACAAUAACGGUCCUAAGGUAGCGAAAUUCCUUGUCAGGUAAGUUCUGACCCGCACGAAUGGCGUAACGAUUUGGGCACUGUCUCAACAACACACCCGGUGAAAUUGUAGUACCGGUGAAGAUGCCGGUUACCCGCGACUAGACGGAAAGACCCCAUGGAGCUUUACUGUAACUUGAUAUUGGAUUUUGGUAUUGCAUGUACAGGAUAGGUGGGAGACUGAGAAGCACAGACGCCAGUUUGUGUGGAGUCAAUGUUGGGAUACCACUCUUGUGAUACUGGAAUUCUAACCUGCGGCCGUGAAACCGGUCGGGGGACAAUGUCUGGUGGACAGUUUGACUGGGGCGGUCGCCUCCUAAAGAGUAACGGAGGCGUUCAAAGGUUAGCUCAGUACGGUCAGAAAUCGUACGAAGAGUGCAAACGCAAAAGCAAGCCUAACUGCGAGACGAACAGGUCGAGCAGUAACGAAAGUUGGAGUUAGUGAUCCGGCGGUAAGAGAGUGGAAUUGCCGUCGCUCAACGGAUAAAAGCUACCCUGGGGAUAACAGGCUGAUCUCCCCCAAGAGUCCAUAUCGACGGGGAGGUUUGGCACCUCGAUGUCGGCUCAUCGCAUCCUGGAGCUGGAGUCGGUUCCAAGGGUUGGGCUGUUCGCCCAUUAAAGCGGUACGCGAGCUGGGUUCAGAACGUCGCGAGACAGUUCGGUCCCUAUCUGUCGCGGGCGCAGGAAAUUUGAAGGGAGCUGUCCUUAGUACGAGAGGACCGGGAUGGACGUACCACUGGUGUACCAGUUGUCUUGCCAAAGGCACGGCUGGGUAGCUAAGUACGGAAGGAAUAAACGC